GACGAACGCUGGCGGCGUGCCUAACACAUGCAAGUCGAACGGAAAGGCCUCUUUCGGGGGGUACUCGAGUGGCGAACGGGUGAGUAACACGUGAGUAACCUGCCCUUGACUUUGGGAUAACUUCAGGAAACUGGGGCUAAUACCGGAUAGGAGCUCCUGCUGCAUGGUGGGGGUUGGAAAGUUUCGGCGGUUGGGGAUGGACUCGCGGCUUAUCAGCUUGUUGGUGGGGUAGUGGCUUACCAAGGCUUUGACGGGUAGCCGGCCUGAGAGGGUGACCGGCCACAUUGGGACUGAGAUACGGCCCAGACUCCUACGGGAGGCAGCGGUGGGGAAUAUUGCACAAUGGGUGGAAGCCUGAUGCAGCAACGCCGUGUGCGGGAUGACGGCCUUCGGGUUGUAAACCGCUUUCGCUCAUGACGAAGCUUUGUGUGACGGUAGUGGGUAAAGAAGCACCGGCUAACUACGUG
RNAcentral lists this ribosomal RNA (467 nucleotides) under uncultured bacterium. RNAcentral's name for it is "partial 16S ribosomal RNA". It matches the Rfam family "Bacterial small subunit ribosomal RNA", at positions 28 to 507 of the family's 1533-position model. The record is from RNAcentral.